RNAcentral lists this ribosomal RNA (386 nucleotides) under uncultured bacterium. RNAcentral's name for it is "bacterial SSU rRNA". It matches the Rfam family "Bacterial small subunit ribosomal RNA", at positions 29 to 414 of the family's 1533-position model. The record is from RNAcentral.
AUUGAACGCUGGCGGCGUGCUUAACACAUGCAAGUCGAGCGGUAACAGGCGUAGCAAUACGUGCUGACGAGCGGCGAACGGGUGCGUAAUACAUGGGAAUCUGCCUAGUAGUGGGGAAUAACCCGGCGAAAGCCGGCCUAAUGCCGCAUACGGAUCCACGGAUGAAAGCGGGGGACCUUCGGGCCUCGCGCUAUUAGAUGAGCCCAUGUCGGAUUAGCUAGUUGGGAGGUAACGGCUCACCAAGGCGACGAUCCGUAGCUGGUCUGAGAGGACGGCCAGCCACACUGGGACUGAGACACGGCCCAGACUCCUACGGGAGGCAGCAGUGGGGAAUAUUGGACAAUGGGGGAAACCCUGAUCCAGCGACGCCGCGUGUGUGAAGAAGG